UCGGUGCGCCGUAGCUUCAUAGGAGCUAUGACAUUUAAUUUUGACAUGACCAUAUGGCAAUGUCGCAUAUUUUUCCAUUGCACGAGGCUUAUUUUACAAUAUUACUAUUUGAUUUUGGAGGAAAACUAUCAAAAGAAUUAUAUUUUUGAAGGUAUGUUGAUAAAAAAUAGUUAUUUGAACGUUUGAAUACUUUCAUUUAUAUAUGUAAAUGAACGUGAUAGUCUGUUUUUAUAAAUACAUUAUAAAAAUUCGAAUUCAAUCUCCUCUACAGUAGGUGUAUAUUUUGUUGUGUGUUCGUGGCGAUCAUUUGGUCAAAUCAAGUCAAAAGGAGCCGUUCAUAUUAUGUUUUUCAAAAAAGCAGUGAAUUGUGAACUCGCUGUAACUGUACCAAACUUGCUAGCUAUGUGUGAACUAGCUAUAUUUUAUACUUUAUACUAGCGAGGUUGUGAUCUUGCUAGCUGGGCAAUCGUCGACGGUUGGCAAUAAUAAAGUUGUAUCACUUGUAUACUGAUUCUGUCAAAAGAUCAAGCCAAC
Non-coding RNA from Paramuricea clavata, 534 nucleotides. NCBI's taxonomy places the organism in Eukaryota, Metazoa, Cnidaria, Anthozoa, Malacalcyonacea, Plexauridae. The record is from the annotation of a GenBank genome assembly.